RNAcentral lists this non-coding RNA (974 nucleotides) under Micrastur gilvicollis. Its description in RNAcentral is "12S ribosomal RNA". It matches the Rfam family "Bacterial small subunit ribosomal RNA". Lineage: Eukaryota; Metazoa; Chordata; Aves; Falconiformes; Falconidae. The record is from RNAcentral.
AAAGACUUAGUCCUAACCUUACUAUUGAUUUAUUGCUAAACAUAUACAUGCAAGUAUCUGCGACCCAGUGCAAAUGCCCUAAAAUUCUUACAAAGACAGAAGGAGCGGGCAUCAGGCGCGCUCGUUUAACUGCAGCCCAAGACGCCUUGCUUAGCCACACCCCCACGGGUAUUCAGCAGUAGUUAGUAUUAAGCAAUAAGCGUAAGCUUGACUUAGUUAUAGCAACCUCUAGGGUUGGUAAAUCUUGUGCCAGCCACCGCGGUCAUACAAGAAGCCCAAACCAAUAGUCAUACGGCGUAAAGAGUGGGACAAUAGCUAUCGUAGCAACUAAGACCAAAAUGCAACUGAGCUGUUAUAAGCCAAUGGUGCCCCUAAGCCCAACCUCAAGACAAUCUUAGCCCUCACGAUCGACUAUCCCCCACGAAAGCUAGGACACAAACUGGGAUUAGAUACCCCACUAUGCCUAGCCUUAAAUCUUGGUGCUUGUCCUCUACCAAAGCACCCGCCUGAGAACUACGAGCACAAACGCUUAAAACUCUAAGGACUUGGCGGUACCCCAAACCCUCCUAGAGGAGCCUGUUCUGUAAUCGACAACCCACGAUACACCCGACCGUUCUUUGCUAAAACAGCCUACAUACCGCCGUCGCCAGCUCACCCUAACUGAGGGUACAACAGUGAGCACAACAGCCUACCUCCGCUAACAAGACAGGUCAAGGUAUAGCCUAUGGAACGGAAGAAAUGGGCUACAUUUUCUAACAUAGAAAACACGAAAGAAGACGUGAAAUCGUCCUCAGAAGGCGGAUUUAGCAGUAAAGCGAGACAAUAAUGCUCCCUUUAAAUUGGCCCUGGGGUACGUACAUACCGCCCGUCACCCUCCUCACAAGCUACAAACUACUAAUAUCUAAUACUCUUAUUAGCUGAAGAUGAGGUAAGUCGUAACAAGGUAAGUGUACCGGAAGGUGUACUUAGCACAC